RNAcentral lists this unclassified non-coding RNA (598 nucleotides) under Hevea brasiliensis (rubber tree). Lineage: Eukaryota; Viridiplantae; Streptophyta; Magnoliopsida; Malpighiales; Euphorbiaceae. The record is from RNAcentral.
AGAACAUACAUCCUGCUGUUGUUGUUUGGCCAAAAUCUGAACUGGAAUACCCAUUCUUUGCCCUUCACAUCUUGAAUCCGCAGAGGAAGGCCUUCUGGUUGAGAAAUUGGUGGGAAAUAUGCUUCAGCACACGCUUUAGGAAGCACCAAACGGCCAAUUCGACCUGCAUCACUUGCACUCAGGACCUUCUCAAAUAAUGGUAUGAUGGUGGAAUUUGAGUCUCCAGAUAUUUGCUGCAACUCCUGGUCUGUUAUCCUUGGCCAAUAGCGUGGAAGCAGCUGAUUCUUAAUCCGACCUUCAACAGGUGGUCUGGCAACACGAAUCUGUGAAAUUAUGCCAGCAUUCAUCUCCGGUCCCAAAGCAGAGGCAGAUUUUGGGGGUUUGGGCAAUAGAUUUCGAGAUCUAGACCCUUGCUGCAAGGAAGAUAUUGUCUUGUUCAGGUCCCCCUCAUCCAAUGUAGUAGGAAAGAGCUUUGAGUUCGGUGAAGGUGCAGACAGAGCUAUGCUUAAAUUUGUUUGCACAGUUGAUCCAUGAAUCUCUACAACUCCUUUGUAUCCGUUAUAUGAAUCCAGUUUGGCAUUUUUAGAGAACUCCGCCG